Elgaria multicarinata webbii is the source of this 161-nucleotide small nuclear RNA. RefSeq annotates it as U1 spliceosomal RNA. The record is from RefSeq and is a predicted model, not a curated record. The transcript has a single exon. Lineage: Eukaryota; Metazoa; Chordata; Lepidosauria; Squamata; Anguidae.
UAACUUACCUGGCAGGAGAGACAACUUGAUCAUGAAGGAGGUUUUCCCAGGGUGAGUGCAUCCAUUGCACUCUGGGUGUGCUGACCCCUGCGAUUUCCCCAAAUGCGGGAAACUCAACUGCAUAAUUUGUGGUAGUUUCACUGUUUUUAAUCUUUGUAAAC